AGUGAAUAGAUACCCGGGUAGUCCACGCUGUAAACGAUGAGUGCUGGACGUUGGCGGGUUUACCUGCCGGUGUCGCAGCUAAACGCGUUAAGCACUCCGCCUGGGGAGUACGGCCGCAAGGUUAAAACUCAAAGGAAUUGACGGGGGCCCGCACAAGCGGUGGAGCAUGUGGUUUAAUUCGACGCAACGCGCAGAACCUUACCAGCCCUUGACAUGGGCGGACGGGGUCCAGAGAUGGACUCUUUCUCGCAAGAGACCACUACACAGGUGCUGCAUGGCUGUCGUCAGCUCGUGUCGUGA
This 300-nucleotide ribosomal RNA is filed under the name uncultured bacterium. RNAcentral's name for it is "bacterial SSU rRNA". It matches the Rfam family "Bacterial small subunit ribosomal RNA", at positions 774 to 1070 of the family's 1533-position model. The record is from RNAcentral.